AUAAAGUUUUAUUUUAACUUAAAAAUUAAGUAUUAAAUUUUUUUAUAUGUAAAUUUUAGUAUAAUAAAAUUAUAAUUUAAAUAGUUAUAAUUAAUAAAUUUAUUCACAGUAAAAAUAAUUAAAUAUUAAAGAAAUUUAGAUUUAGAAAUUUUAAAUAAUAUUAACAAAUUUUGUGCCAGCAGUUGCGGUUAUACAAAAAAUAUGAUUUAAUUUUUUUAGUUUUAAUUAAUUUAAUAAAUUUUAUAAUUUUAUAAAUAAAUUUAUUAGGUGAAAUUUUAAAUUUAUUUAAAAAUUAUUUUUUUUAAUGAAGUUAGAAAAUUUAUUUAUUAAACUAGGAUUAGAUACCCUAUUAUUAUAAAAGUAUAAAGAUUAACUAGAUUAGUAUUAGAUAAGUUCUUGAAAAUUAAAAAAUUUGGCGGUAUUUUAGUCUAUUCAGAGGAACCUGUUCUGUAAUUGAUAAUCCACGAUUAAAUUAACUUAUUUUAUUAAGUUUGUAUAUCGUUGUAGGUUGAAUAUUUUAUUAGAAUUUAAAUAUUCAUGAUUUAAAAUAUUAAAAUAAAUCAAAUCAAGAUGCAGUUUAUAAAUAAGUAGAAAUGGGUUACAAUAAAUAUAUUUAAUAUGGAUAUUUUAUUUAAAAUUUAAUAGAAAGUGGAUUUGGAAGUAAUUUUAUAUUUUUUUAUAAAAUGAUAAAAGCUCUAAAAUAUGUACAUAUUGCCCGUCGCUUUCACUAUAAAGUGAAAUAAGUCGUAACAAAGUAGAUUUAUUGGAAAAUGAAUCUGGAAAG
This 784-nucleotide non-coding RNA is filed under the name Macrohyliota sp. 2 MJ-2020. Lineage: Eukaryota; Metazoa; Arthropoda; Insecta; Coleoptera; Silvanidae. The record is from RNAcentral.